AAUCAACGCUGGCGGCGUGCCUCAGACAUGCAAGUCGAAACGCGAAAAGCUCCCUUCGGGGAAGCAAAGUAGAGUGGCGCACGGGUGAGUAACACGUAGGUAAUCUACCUUUGGAUGGGGAAUAACAACCGGAAACGGUUGCUAAUACCGCAUAAUGCAGCGGCACCUAAUGGUGACAGUUGUUAAAGCGGGGGAUCGCAAGACCUCGCGUCUGAAGAGGAGCCUGCGGCAGAUUAGCUAGUUGGUAAGGUAACGGCUUACCAAGGCGAUGAUCUGUAGCCGGCCUGAGAGGGCGGUCGGCCACACUGACACUGACAUACGGGUCAGACUCCUACGGGAGGCAGCAGUCGGGAAUUUUGGGCAAUGGGCGAAAGCCUGACCCAGCAACGCCGCGUGAAGGAUGAAAUCCCUCGGGAUGUAAACUUCGCAAGAACAGGAAGAAUAAGUCGGUGUAAAUACCACCGACGAUGACGGUACUGUUUGUAAGGCUCCGGGCUAACUCCGUGCCCAGCAGCCGCGGUAA
This 523-nucleotide ribosomal RNA is filed under the name uncultured bacterium. RNAcentral describes it as "bacterial SSU rRNA". It matches the Rfam family "Bacterial small subunit ribosomal RNA", at positions 32 to 523 of the family's 1533-position model. The record is from RNAcentral.